This 493-nucleotide ribosomal RNA is filed under the name uncultured bacterium. RNAcentral's name for it is "bacterial SSU rRNA". It matches the Rfam family "Bacterial small subunit ribosomal RNA", at positions 28 to 526 of the family's 1533-position model. The record is from RNAcentral.
GACGAACGCUGGCGGCGUGCUUAACACAUGCAAGUGGAGCGACGAACCAGGGCUUGCCCUGGGGCAGAGCCGCGAACGGGUGAGUAACACGUGGGUUACCUGCCCCGAUGACCGGGACAACCCGAGGAAACUCGGGCUAAUACCGGAUGUGGUCUUCGGACGAAAGGAAGCUUCGGCCUCCGCAUCGGGAUGGGCCCGCGGCGCAUUAGCUUGUUGGUGGGGUAAUGGCCUACCAAGGCGACGAUGCGUAGCUGGUCUGAGAGGACGAUCAGCCACACUGGGACUGAGACAGCCCAGACUCCUACGGGAGGCAGCAGUGGGGAAUCUUGCGCAAUGCGCGAAAGCGUGACGCAGCAACGCCGCGUGGGGGAAGAAGGCCUUCGGGUUGUAAACCUCUUUCAGUUGGGACGAAGCUCCGCCGGUUAAUAGCCGGCUGGAGUGACGGUACCUUCAGAAGAAGCCCCGGCUAACUACGUGCCAGCCGCCGUAACAC